GACGAACGCUGGUGGCGUGCCUAAUACAUGCAAGUCGAACGCAUUUUCUUUCACCGUAGCUUGCUACACCGAAAGAAAAUGAGUGGCGAACGGGUGAGUAACACGUGGGUAACCUGCCCAUCAGCGGGGGAUAACACUUGGAAACAGGUGCUAAUACCGCAUAAUUCCAUUUACUGCAUGGUAGAUGGAUGAAAGGCGCUUUUGCGUCACUGAUGGAUGGACCCGCGGUGCAUUAGCUAGUUGGUGGGGUAACGGCCUACCAAGGCUGCGAUGCAUAGCCGACCUGAGAGGGUGAUCGGCCACACUGGGACUGAGACACGGCCCAGACUCCUACGGGAGGCAGCAGUAGGGAAUCUUCGGCAAUGGACGCAAGUCUGACCGAGCAACGCCGCGUGAGUGAAGAAGGUUUUCGGAUCGUAAAACUCUGUUGUUAGAAAAGAACAAGGAUGAGAGUGGAAAGUUCAUCCCUUGACGGUAUCUAACCAGAAAGCCACGGCUAACUACGUG
This 507-nucleotide ribosomal RNA is filed under the name uncultured bacterium. RNAcentral describes it as "partial 16S ribosomal RNA". It matches the Rfam family "Bacterial small subunit ribosomal RNA", at positions 28 to 507 of the family's 1533-position model. The record is from RNAcentral.